UGAAUACUGUCGUUGUUUGAUUCCAGCUCUGCUGGAUGAGGGGGAAGUUCGGUGAGAUUCCGUCGCAACCACCAUUUCCGUGAUUGAGCAGUCUGCUGUUCAUAAGCCGGAAUACCUGUCAAAUGACCGGAACGGCC
Molecule: non-coding RNA, 137 nt
Filed under: Clostridium sp.
Lineage: Bacteria; Bacillati; Bacillota; Clostridia; Eubacteriales; Clostridiaceae
Also listed under: 1 other name
Source: RNAcentral